This 452-nucleotide ribosomal RNA is filed under the name uncultured bacterium. Its description in RNAcentral is "partial 16S ribosomal RNA". It matches the Rfam family "Bacterial small subunit ribosomal RNA", at positions 28 to 507 of the family's 1533-position model. The record is from RNAcentral.
GAUGAACGCUGGCGGCGUGCCUAACACAUGCAAGUCGAGCGAUUCUCUUCGGAGAAGAGCGGCGGACGGGUGAGUAACGCGUGGGUAACCUGCCCUGUACACACGGAUAACAUACCGAAAGGUAUGCUAAUACGAGAUAAUAUGCUUUUAUCGCAUGGUAGAAGUAUCAAAGCUUUUGCGGUACAGGAUGGACCCGCGUCUGAUUAGCUAGUUGGUAAGGUAACGGCUUACCAAGGCGACGAUCAGUAGCCGACCUGAGAGGGUGAUCGGCCACAUUGGAACUGAGACACGGUCCAAACUCCUACGGGAGGCAGCAGUGGGGAAUAUUGCACAAUGGGCGAAAGCCUGAUGCAGCAACGCCGCGUGAGCGAUGAAGGCCUUCGGGUCGUAAAGUUCUGUCCUCAAGGAAGAUAAUGACGGUACUUUAGGAGGAAGCCCCGGCUAACUACGUG